Molecule: long non-coding RNA, 269 nt
Filed under: Prunus persica (peach)
Lineage: Eukaryota; Viridiplantae; Streptophyta; Magnoliopsida; Rosales; Rosaceae
Description: long non-coding RNA (PPER_LNC000875)
Source: RNAcentral
CCUGUCAAUUCUCUUGUGACUAGUUGAAAUUGUUGACUUUUCAAAGUCAAGUAGUCACAUGGGUUUCUUCAAUUUUGGCCUGUUCUCUAACUUCGCUCAAUCACACCAAGCCCAGGUUUGAGUUUUGGGACUGUGGGUUGAGCAAAUCACACCAUAGCAUGUUGCCCACUCAGAUGAAGGUCUUACUUAAAACUUUAACAUUUAAUCUCCUUCAAUCAAGUAAAGAAUAUUAUUUCUAUUACAUUGCUACUAUAUAUAUAUAUGUUGUG